UCGGGAAUCUUGGACAAUGGGCGCAAGCCUGAUCCAGCCAUGCCGCGUGAGUGAUGAAGGCCUUAGGGUCGUAAAGCUCUUUCGCCAGGGAUGAUAAUGACAGUACCUGGUAAAGAAACCCCGGCUAACUCCGUGCCAGCAGCCGCGGUAAUACGGAGGGGGUUAGCGUUGUUCGGAAUUACUGGGCGUAAAGCGCACGUAGGCGGAUCAGAAAGUUGGGGGUGAAAUCCCAGGGCUCAACCCUGGAACUGCCUUCAAAACUCCUAGUCUAGAGUUCGAGAGAGGUGAGUGGAAAUCCGAGUGUAGAGGUGAAAUUCGUAGAUAUUCGGAGGAACACCAGUGGCGAAGGCGGCUCACUGGCUCGAUACUGACGCUGAGGUGCGAAAGUGUGGGGAGCAA
This 399-nucleotide ribosomal RNA is filed under the name uncultured bacterium. RNAcentral's name for it is "bacterial SSU rRNA". It matches the Rfam family "Bacterial small subunit ribosomal RNA", at positions 355 to 771 of the family's 1533-position model. The record is from RNAcentral.